This 239-nucleotide long non-coding RNA is filed under the name Gossypium raimondii (Peruvian cotton). RNAcentral describes it as "long non-coding RNA (GRAI_LNC002080)". The record is from RNAcentral. Lineage: Eukaryota; Viridiplantae; Streptophyta; Magnoliopsida; Malvales; Malvaceae.
UAGUUUUCUACUGUAUUUUAGACUUCUGCUUAUGUUUUCUUUUAUAAUCUUGUUGGGUUGUUGCUGUUGUUUACUUGAACUCAUGUUGUGUUGCUUUUAUUUGUUCACUUGUUUACUUCAAUUUUCCUUUAUUUGGUCAUGUUUAAAAACUAUAAAGAAUAAUAUUUUUAAAAAACAUUACAUAAAAAUAAACAACACCAAAUUAUUUUUUUAAUUUAACUCGAAAAAAUAUAUUCGAU